Molecule: transfer RNA, 82 nt
Filed under: Echinostoma caproni
Lineage: Eukaryota; Metazoa; Platyhelminthes; Trematoda; Plagiorchiida; Echinostomatidae
Rfam family: tRNA
About the family: Transfer RNA (tRNA) molecules are approximately 80 nucleotides in length. Their secondary structure includes four short double-helical elements and three loops (D, anti-codon, and T loops).
Source: Rfam by way of RNAcentral
GAUCUCGUAGCUCAGCUGGUAGAGCAUGCGCGUACAAAGCGUAGGCGGCGUCCAUUCGUUGGUUCGAAUCCCACCGAGGCUA